This is a long non-coding RNA of Sardina pilchardus (European sardine), 396 nucleotides long. RefSeq lists it as uncharacterized. The transcript is spliced from 3 exons. The record is from RefSeq and is a predicted model, not a curated record. Lineage: Eukaryota; Metazoa; Chordata; Actinopteri; Clupeiformes; Clupeidae.
GGGGUGCAGCACCACCGCAGACACACGCUGUGAGCCUCUGGAAGGUCACUACUGCACUGACCCAGUCAAAGAUGGCUGCAGAGGAGCUGUGGAACACACAAAGUGCUCACCAGGACAGUACAUCAGACAGAAUGGUUCAGCUUCCUCUGAUACGCUGUGUGGCGACUGUGGCAAUAACACAUACUCAGAUGGAUCAUUCACAUCCUGCAGACCACACAGACAGUGUGCAUCAUUGAAAAUGGAUGCUAUUCUAGAGGGAACAUCAUCCUCUGAUGCUGAAUGUGGACGAAGUGGCAUCACACCUGGUGGUAUCACUGCCAUAGUAAUAUUGCUGAUUCUGCCUAUAAUAGCAGGCAUCGUGAUUUUUAUACUUCGCUUCAGGAAACAACAACAACA